GAAACUCAAAGGAAUUGACGGGGACCCGCACAAGUAGCGGAGCAUGUGGUUUAAUUCGAAGCAACGCGAAGAACCUUACCUAAGCUUGACAUCCCAAUGACAUCUCCUUAAUCGGGGAGUUCCCUUCAGGGACAUUGGUGACAGGUGGUGCAUGGUUGUCGUCAGCUCGUGUCGUGAGAUGUUGGGUUAAGUCCCGCAACGAGCGCAACCCUUGUCUUUAGUUGCCAUCAUUAAGUUGGGCAC
Molecule: ribosomal RNA, 243 nt
Filed under: Clostridioides difficile
Lineage: Bacteria; Bacillati; Bacillota; Clostridia; Peptostreptococcales; Peptostreptococcaceae
Description: partial 16S ribosomal RNA
Rfam family: Bacterial small subunit ribosomal RNA
Source: RNAcentral